UGGACAUCGGUUGAGAAAACUAAGGGCAUCACAUGACUCACUAUCAGAAGGUGAGGAGCCCUGGAGCGAGAUCAUCAGUUUCACCUGUAUCUCAAGUUCUAUUAUUUAUCUGUGGCACGCUGCUGAUAGAUGCUACCUGUGGGAGUGGAGGAGAGGAGAUGAGAUUUUCUUUUUUGCCCUGCUUGUGAUUUCUUCCUCUGAAAAUAACUGCUGUAAUCUUCGUUGUUCCUCAACACCUGCAUCACUGACAAAGAGGAACGUGUGCAACAGUGUCUCCUAGAAACUCUCUUUAUACAUCAAUAAUUUGUUUUGCUCGAUACGCUUUGAGGGGAAAGUAAACGCUGCCAGGUUGAUGUUCAGUUACAAUGUUUUUCAGAG
Long non-coding RNA from Seriola aureovittata, 378 nucleotides. RefSeq lists it as uncharacterized. The transcript is spliced from 3 exons. The record is from RefSeq and is a predicted model, not a curated record. NCBI's taxonomy places the organism in Eukaryota, Metazoa, Chordata, Actinopteri, Carangiformes, Carangidae.